CCUACGGGUGGCUGCAGUGGGGAAUAUUGCACAAUGGGGGGAACCCUGAUGCAGCGACGCCGCGUGAGCGAGGAAGUAUUUCGGUAUGUAAAGCUCUAUCAGCAGGGACGAAAAAAGACGGUACCUGACUAAGAAGCCCCGGCUAACUACGUGCCAGCAGCCGCGGUAAUACGGAGGGGGCAAGCGUUACCCGGAUGUACUGGGGGGAAAGGGAGCGUAGACGGCAAGGCAAGCCAGAAGUGAAAGGGCAGGGCUCAACCCUGUACAUGCUUUUGGAACUGUGGUGCUAGGGUGCAGGGGGGGUAAGUGGAAUUCCUGGUGUAGCGGUGAAAUGCGUAGAUAUUAGGAGGAACACCAGUGGCGAGGGCGGCUUACUGGACUGUAACUGACGUUGAGGCUCGAAAGCGUGGGGAGCAAACAGGAUUAGAUACCCGGUAGUC
RNAcentral lists this ribosomal RNA (440 nucleotides) under uncultured bacterium. Its description in RNAcentral is "partial 16S ribosomal RNA". It matches the Rfam family "Bacterial small subunit ribosomal RNA", at positions 338 to 795 of the family's 1533-position model. The record is from RNAcentral.